This 879-nucleotide ribosomal RNA is filed under the name uncultured bacterium. RNAcentral's name for it is "bacterial SSU rRNA". It matches the Rfam family "Bacterial small subunit ribosomal RNA", at positions 8 to 916 of the family's 1533-position model. The record is from RNAcentral.
AGAGUUUGAUCCUGGCUCAGGAUGAACGCUGGCGGCGUGCCUAACACAUGCAAGUCGAGCGAUCUUCUUCGGAGGAGAGCGGCGGACGGGUGAGUAACGCGUGGGUAACCUGCCUCAUACACAUGGAUAACAUACCGAAAGGUAUGCUAAUACAGGAUGAUAUAAGAGAUUCGCAUGGAUUUCUUAUCAAAGCUCCGGCGGUAUGAGAUGGACCCGCGUCUGAUUAGCUAGUUGGUAAGGUGACGGCUUACCAAGGCGACGAUCAGUAGCCGACCUGAGAGGGUGAUCGGCCACAUUGGAACUGAGACACGGUCCAAACUCCUACGGGAGGCAGCAGUGGGGAAUAUUGCACAAUGGGCGAAAGCCUGAUGCAGCAACGCCGCGUGAGCGAUGAAGGCCUUCGGGUCGUAAAGCUCUGUCCUCAAGGAAGAUAAUGACGGUACUUGAGGAGGAAGCCCCGGCUAACUACGUGCCAGCAGCCGCGGUAAUACGUAGGGGGCUAGCGUUAUCCGGAUUUACUGGGCGUAAAGGGUGCGUAGGUGGUUUCUUAAGUCAGGAGUGAAAGGCUACGGCUCAACCGUAGUAAGCUCUUGAAACUGGGAAACUUGAGUGCAGGAGAGGAAAGUGGAAUUCCUAGUGUAGCGGUGAAAUGCGUAGAUAUUAGGAGGAACACCAGUAGCGAAGGCGGCUUUCUGGACUGUAACUGACACUGAGGCACGAAAGCGUGGGGAGCAAACAGGAUUAGAUACCCUGCUAGUCCACGCCGUAAACGAUGAGUACUAGGUGUCGGGGGUUACCCCCCUCGGUGCCGCAGCUAACGCAUUAAGUACUCCGCCUGGGGAGUACGCUCGCAAGAGUGAAACUCAAAGGAAUUGACGG